RNAcentral lists this long non-coding RNA (2730 nucleotides) under Pan troglodytes (chimpanzee). RNAcentral describes it as "long non-coding RNA NONPTRT014502". Lineage: Eukaryota; Metazoa; Chordata; Mammalia; Primates; Hominidae. The record is from RNAcentral.
AGGAACUGGUAGAAGUUCUUUGAUAUUAUGAAGUAUGUCUAAAAUAUCACUGCCACCCUGAAAAUUGCCAAACAAUUGUACAAAAGAAAGCUAGAGGGAACUAUGGACCAAACACGCAUGACCUCAGGGGAUUGGAAGGGAAUGGAAGAGCAUUUGCCAAUUUGGAACAACAGCAGCGUGUCUCUAAAGGGACUAUGUCAGAAAGACCCAGAAUUGCAUUUCCAUUUCCAAGAACCCAUCCUCAGCACUAACUAAAUAGGAAUUUCUGAGAUACACAUUUUGUUUAUCCAUUCCCCUAAUGCAAAGAACUCUUCAAUGAAUGUCCUUUACACUUUUCUUAUCUGCAAGUAUGAGAGUUUCUCCAGGAGAAUGAUCUUUGUGUUAGUUUGCUAGGGCGCCACAACAAAUUAUCAAAAACUGGGUGGCUUAGAACAACAAAAAUUUAUUGUUUUACAGUUCUGGAAGCAGAAGUCCAAGAUCAAGAUGUUGGCAGGGUUGCUUCCUUCUGAGGAUUGUGGGAGUAAGAUCUGGCCCAAGCCUCUCUACUUGGCCUGUAGGUGGCCAUCUUCUCCAUGUGUCUCUUCUUAUGGAUAGAGAUUGAAUUUUAAAAAUGUCUUAUUUCCUGGAAGGCAGUAAAUGUUAAACACUUUCUUCUGGAUUGAGUUAUUGUAAUUGUUACCCAAUCGAUCAAGACACCAAAUCAUAAAACUACAAUUAAUUUGUAGUUUAUUAAACAGAAAAAGUAAAGUUCUAUAGAAAAUUCUUCUCUUAAUUAUAGAAAUGGUACUUCUCUCCCUAAGUUAGUUCAUGUAUCCACUGAUGAAAUCUGUAUUGUUCCAGCAUUCAUCAAUGCUGGAACAAUACAGAUUUCUGUACUCAUUUUUGUCCCUCCCUCACUUUUAUAGAAGUAACUGCUGAGAAAAUAUAUUCAUGAUAAUAAAUAAAUGGGAGCAAAUGGCAUUUGUUUAGAGCAGUUUCCUCCAAUUCUAUGCAUUCCAUUCAAGUUAAAUACCAAACACUACCUAGUAAUUUACUGACAAAAUAUUUUUUGUGCUGUCUGCCAAAAAUUCUAUUAAGUUAUUUAAAUUCAUGAAAGUGUCAAAAACCACCUAACAUGCAGACAAUCUAUUGCCCAGUUAUAAGAGUUAUUCACAUUCUUGAAUUCUGAGAGGUACACCAGAAAGAGUUUAUCAACCCUAAUCAAAUAACUCUUAAAUAUACCUGUUGCUGUUUUAUUUAAAAGCCCCCUGUGUAGAAUGGAUUGGUGUCUUAGUUUGGGCUCCCACAAAAAAGCAGACCCCAAGAUGAAAUCUUGAGUUGAAGAAGUUUACCUGACAGGUGAUUCCAGAAAGUACAACUGAGUCAGUGAGGAGAGUGAACCAGAGAGGGAGAAAAACAAUAUAAAAGUGAGUUAGUGAGUGGGUUACUACUGUAGGCCACAGAGCCCAGUUCCACCUUCUGAGUAUCCUGCAGAAUGCACGUCAGAACUGUCCCAAUAAAGAAUAGAGAAGCGGGGAAUUCAUCCAUGGACUCCUAUCUUUCAUUACUUUCCUUGGCCCUUCCAGUCUCCCUGUACAAGGCUGAAGACUGGAGAGAGGGCGAAUCCUCCUUACGCCAAGAAGCAGAAAGACUUGGGCAUUUAAGACUCUAGAAGGUACAGUGAACUCACAGGUGGCUGCUGGGAUAGGCAACAGAACAAAUCACCCAACUUCUCAGAGGCUUAUUUUUUCCUCUGUAAAACUGGAAAAUUUAUACUGGAUCUGCUACUCUGAUGAGAUAAAGUGGGAGGUGCUUGUUAUUUUUUGGUAAGUGUGGUGGGCAAAAUUCAAAGAUGGGCCCUGAGAUUCCCAACCCCUGGUAUAUGCCCUGUGUAAUCUUUUCCAUUUGAAUUUGGGUGAGACCUUAAGUGAAUAUGAUGGAAUAUCACUCCUGUGAUUUGGCAGGUAAUCAAUCAGCUGACUAAGAGUUAAGCAAGAGGGAGAAAAUCCCAGGUGGGCCUGACCUAAUGAAGGGAACACUUAGAAAGGAACUGGACUUUAUCUGACAAAAGACAUGAAACCAGGGAGAUACUCCUGUAUCUCUGAGGAAGGAAACAGCCUUCUUGUGAAUUACCUACCGAGGGGUGCACCUGUGAAUGAGGGACGGGUCUGAGUGUGGAGCUGAGAGUAGUCUCCAGCUGAGAGCUGGCAAGAAAGUGGGAACCUCAGACAUGAAGCUGAGCAUGAAUAAACUCUACUACCACUUUAUAGAGCUUGGAAACAGACUCUUCCCCAGUCAAGCCUCCAGAUGAGAAUAUAGCCCUGCUGAGGCUGUGCUGGAAUUCUGACUCAUGGGAAUUGUGAGAUAAUAAAUUUGUGUUGUAAGCUGCUAAGUUUGUGGUAAUUUAUUAUGCAGCAAUAUAAAACUAAUGCACUGGGUGCAGUGGUGUGUGCCUCUAGUCUCAGCUACUUAGGAAGCUGAAGCAGGUGUAUCAGUUGAGCCCAGGAGUUGGAGGCUAGCCAGGGAGACAUAGCAAGACCCCAUCUCAGAUAAAUAAAUAAAUAAAUAAAUACAACUUAAAAUAUGCACAAUGGCCUAAAAAUAAACAAAUAGAAAACUAAUAUAAUUAUCCAGUACUGCACUCCAAGAAGUGAGGGGUAAAGAAAGUAUAUAUUCUUUCUUCUCACCUUGCAGCACCUAGAGGACAGAUUUCUCCAAUAAGAUGUGCCCACCUAGAACUAUAAACAUCAU